This 253-nucleotide ribosomal RNA is filed under the name uncultured bacterium. Its description in RNAcentral is "partial 16S ribosomal RNA". It matches the Rfam family "Bacterial small subunit ribosomal RNA", at positions 524 to 776 of the family's 1533-position model. The record is from RNAcentral.
UACGUAGGUGGCAAGCGUUAUCCGGAUUUAUUGGGCGUAAAGGGAACGCAGGCGGUCUUUUAAGUCUGAUGUGAAAGCCUUCGGCUUAACCGGAGUAGUGCAUUGGAAACUGGGAGACUUGAGUGCAGAAGAGGAGAGUGGAACUCCAUGUGUAGCGGUGAAAUGCGUAGAUAUAUGGAAGAACACCAGUGGCGAAAGCGGCUCUCUGGACUGUAACUGACACUGAGGUACGAAAGCGUGGGGAGCAAACAGG